AUUGAACGCUGGCGGCAUGCUUUACACAUGCAAGUCGAACGGCAGCGCGGGCUUCGGCCUGGCGGCGAGUGGCGAACGGGUGAGUAAUGCAUCGGAACGUGCCCAGCAGUGGGGGAUAGCCCGGCGAAAGCCGGAUUAAUACCGCAUACGACCUGAGGGUGAAAGCGGGGGACCGAAAGGCCUCGCGCUAUUGGAGCGGCCGAUGUCGGAUUAGCUAGUUGGUGGGGUAAAGGCUUACCAAGGCGACGAUCCGUAGCUGGUCUGAGAGGACGACCAGCCACACUGGGACUGAGACACGGCCCAGACUCCUACGGGAGGCAGCAGUGGGGAAUUUUGGACAAUGGGGGCAACCCUGAUCCAGCCAUGCCGCGUGCGGGAAGAAGGUCUUCGGGUUGUAAACCGCUUUUGUUCGGGAAGAAAUCCUCUGGGCUAAUACCCCGGGGGGAUGACGGUACCGGAAGAAUAAGCACCGGCUAACUACGUG
This 484-nucleotide ribosomal RNA is filed under the name uncultured bacterium. Its description in RNAcentral is "partial 16S ribosomal RNA". It matches the Rfam family "Bacterial small subunit ribosomal RNA", at positions 28 to 507 of the family's 1533-position model. The record is from RNAcentral.